RNAcentral lists this ribosomal RNA (465 nucleotides) under uncultured bacterium. RNAcentral describes it as "partial 16S ribosomal RNA". It matches the Rfam family "Bacterial small subunit ribosomal RNA", at positions 28 to 507 of the family's 1533-position model. The record is from RNAcentral.
GAUGAACGCUGGCGGCGUGCUUAACACAUGCAAGUCGAACGGAAGGGCUCCUGCUUGCCGGGGUACUCGAGUGGCGAACGGGUGAGUAACACGUGGGUGAUCUGCCCUGCACUUCGGGAUAAGCCUGGGAAACUGGGUCUAAUACCGGAUAGGACCACAUUUUGGAUGGUGUGGUGGAAAGUUUUUCGGUGUGGGAUGAGCUCGCGGCCUAUCAGCUUGUUGGUGGGGUAAUGGCCUACCAAGGCGUCGACGGGUAGCCGGCCUGAGAGGGUGUACGGCCACAUUGGGACUGAGAUACGGCCCAGACUCCUACGGGAGGCAGCAGUGGGGAAUAUUGCACAAUGGGCGCAAGCCUGAUGCAGCGACGCCGCGUGGGGGAUGACGGCCUUCGGGUUGUAAACUCCUUUCGCUAGGGACGAAGCGCAAGUGACGGUACCUGGAGAAGAAGCACCGGCUAACUACGUG